AGAAAAAAAUGCAAAGGUUUGAGGCUUAGCAGUACCAGACUUAAAAACUCUAAAAUAAAGCAGCAGUCAUCAAAAUCACUUAAUAUUCACUAAGAAAUAAAGUGGGGGAGGAGUAGAAUAGAUUAGAUAAACAUAAAACAAUAAUCAAGACUUAUAGUAAUCUAGCAUUUGAUAAACCCUGUAACUAGCUUCUGGGAUAACAAAAAUUGUUGAGAAAAUGGGAAAAGAAUAUAUUAGAAACUUGGCAUACACCUACAUUUCACACCCCAUACCAAAAUAAGGUCAAAAUUGGUACAUGAUUUGGGCAUAAAGAAUGAUAUCAUAAACAAAUUAGGAGAACAGUGGAUAAUUUACCCAUCAGGUCUUUGGAGAAGGGAAUAGUUUAUGACCAAAAAAGAACUAGAGAACAUUAUAAAAGGCAAAAUGGACAACUCUGACUACAUUAAAUUAAAAAGGUUUUGCAUAAACAAAACUAACAGAAACAAGAUUAAAAGGGAAGUACAAAGCUGGAAAAAAAAUCUUUACAGUCAGCAUUUCUGAUAAAGGUCUUAUUUCUGAAAUAUAUAAAGAACUGUGUCAAAUUUAUAAGAAUACAAGUCAUUCCCCCAAAGAAUAAAUGGUCAAAGGAUAUGAACAGACAAUUUUCAGAUGACUAAAUUAAAGCCAUCUAUAGUCAUAAGAAAAAAUGCUCUAAGUAACUAUUGAUUAGAGAAAUGCAAAUUAAAACAACUCAGGUAAUACCUCACACCUCUCAGAUUGGCUAAGAUGACAGGAAAGGAUAAUGCUAAAUGUUGGAGGGGAUGUGGGAAAACUGGGACACUAAUCUAUUGUUGUUGGAGUUGUGAAAUGAUCCAACCAUUCUGGAGAGCAAUCUGAAACUAUGCCUAAAGAGCUAUAAAACUGUGCAUAUCCUUUAAACUAGCAGUGUCCUUAGUCGGUCUGUAUCCCAAGGAAAUCAUAAAGGAGGGAAAAGGACCCACAUGUGCAAAACUGUUUAUAAUAGUUCUUUUUGUGGUAGCAAAAAAUUGGAAAAUAAGUAGAUGUUCAUCACUUGGGGAAUGGCUGAACAAAUUUUGGUAUAUGAAGGUAAUGAAAUAUUAUUGUUGUAUAAAAAAUGAUAAGCUAAUUUCAGAAAAGCCUGGAAAGACUUAGCCUAUACACAGCUGCAAAGAGAAGAAAAAUGUAUUCUGUUCAUUCAAGAAUGUGUAUUCAUAGUCACACUUAGAAAAUGAAACAUUAGUUAGACUACAUUAUGUAUAUGGUGCUUGAUUUUUAAAACUUAAAAAAAAUAGAAUAGACUAUAACUGAAAGACUACAUUUAAUAAAAACCAACAAAGACUAUAUGAUAUGCUAAAAUAAAAAUUUCAAAGUGACAUUCUCUAAAGAUUUAAGAAAAUUAAGAGAGGAAAAAAUACAAUUCAUAGUCCCACUCAUUUUUGUGAAUCCCAAUUAUAUUUAAUAAUGUAAUGAUUUAGCUAACUUCCUUGACCUUGUAUUUUGCUAUUUACUCAGAAGAGUAACUCAUAUUUAUGAGCCUAAAUCCAUUCUAUGAGACAAGGUCAACCAGUUCUUUAAUUCUAACCCUAAUGUAGUUCAGCACCAUAAGUUCUAUUACCAUCAUCUCUAUGUUUGAAAUAGGUUUUGAUUUUUUUUUAAUAAAAACAAUUUUUAUGAGGAAAAAAAUAGCUCACAUUAAACUUUUUUGUCGUUUUGGUCAUGUAAAAAAAAUAAAAAUAAACUUUUUUUUGUCUUUGUAGCUCUUUUUUUUCUUUUUAAUACACACUGCUUUAUGAAACAUGUUGAGAGAGAAAAAUAAGAGCAAAAGGGAAAAUCCAUGGGCGAGAUUUAAAAAUAAAAACAGAAAAAACAAGUGAACAUAGCAUGUAUUGAUUUACAUUGUCAUCUUAGUUCUUUUUUCUUAUUGCAGAUGACAUUUUCUAUCCAAAGUCUAUUGGGGUUGCUUUGGAUCACGGAACUACUGAGAACAAAGGCUUGCAUAGUUGAUCAAUGCACAUUCUUGCUGCUAUUGUGUACAAUGUGUUGCUGGUUCUGCUUGUUUCCCUCAACAUCAAUUCAUGUGAAUCUUUCCAGGCCUUUCUAUAAUAAGCUUGUUCAUCAUUUUUUAUAGAACAAUAAUAUUCCAUUAUAUGCAUGUACUACAAGUUAUUCAACCAUUCCUCAAUUGAUGGUUAUCCACUCUUUUUCCAAUUCUUUGUUAUCACAAAAAAGGCAGCUACAAACAUUUUUGCACAUGGGGGUCCUUUUCCCUCCUUAAUGAUUUCCUUGGGAUACAGACCCACUAAUGACACUACUGAGUCAAAGAGCAUGCACAAUUUUAUAGUUUUUUGAGCAUAAUUCCAGAUUGCUCUCUAGAAUGUUUGGUUCAUUUCACAACUCCACCAGCAAUGCAUUAGUUUUUUAGAUGCCCUCCAACAUUUAACAUUAUUCUUUCCUGUCAUCUUAGCCAGUCUGAGAAGUGUGAGGUAGCACCUCAGAGUCUUUUAAAUUUACAUUUCUCUAAUCAAUAGUGAUUUAGAACAUUUUUUCAUAUAACUAUAAAUGGCUUUAAUUUAGUCAUCUGAAAAUUGUUUAUAUCCUUUGACCAUUUAUUCUUUGGGGAUUAUGAAUUUGACGUUGUUCUUUAUAUAUUUUAGAAAUGAGACCUUUAUCAGAAAUACUAGAUAUAAAAUUUUUUUCUCAGCUUUUUACUUCCCUUUUAAUCUUUUUGGUGUUGGUUUUGUGUGUGCAAAAAAAUGUUUUAAUUUAAUGUAAUGAAAGUUGUCCAUUUUGCCUUUCAUAAUAUUCUCUAGUUAUUCUUUAGUUAUAAAUUGCUUCCUUCUCCAAAGAUAUGAUAGGUAAACUAUCCCUUGUUCUUCCAAUUUGUUUGUGGUAUCAUCCUUUAUGCCCAAAUUAUAUAUCCAUUCUGACCUUGUUUUGGUAUGGAGUGUGAGACAUAGGUUUAUGCCUAUUUUUUAACAUAUUAUUUUCCAUUUUUUUUCAGCAAUUUUUGUCAGAUAGUGAAUUCUUAUUCCAGAAGUUGGAGUUUGGGGUUUGUCAAAUCCUUUGAUUUUUUUUUCAUUAAUUUCCUUGAUAUUCUUGACCUUUUGUUCUUCCAGAUGAAUUUUGUUAUUAUUUAUAAUGUCUAGCUCCCUGGAGGGCCUCAGAAUCAGCCAGAGUCAGGAUAAAUCAAAGUCUUUGGUCUUUAGGGGGAGAAGUGAAGGAGACAGGCAAACUGUGACAUGGUUUGCCAAAGAUGUAUCCUGGAUUCUGGAGUCUGGAGUCUGGAGUCUCCAUCCUCUCUUCUCCUCGUCCUGCUGCCAAGUGACUGACUUCUCUCCCCCAGCCCUCCAAUCCUUGCCUACAAUUAUCUCACUACCAAAACAUUCAGCAAGCACCAAUAGUGAGGAGAGGCCAUCACAUCACCAUCUUAUCUAAGUAUGUAUACAGAGCCAUUAUCUCACAUCUAAUAGGUAAUUAUCCUUAAGUGCUCUCUUGUCUGAUUCAAGCACACCUUUUUCAGAGUUUCAGCUCUCUACAAUUACUUUUCUAGUUCAUAAAAUAAUAUUUUGGCAGUUUGAUAAGUCUUGAUUUUAAUAACUAGACCUUCUUGUUCUGACAAAGUAUUUUUAUUACUGUUCUUAUAUAUCCAAUUUUAAUAAUAACAUAUUCCUGUUUUAUCCCCUUUGUGUGUAAAUACAGCACUCAGUUUUUCUAGGGCUGGAAUCUAAUCUUGUUCCUUUUCAAGACCCUGAAGGAUCCUAAACUCUGGUCACCAUGACUAGAUCUAUUUAAAUGGCAGACAACUGGCUUUCUGAAUCACUUUUCAUUCUUAUAACAGACUUUGCUCUUACCUUAGAGUUAGACGUGACUUCAGAAGCUAUCUUUCCUCAUGCUGAACUAUGUUCCCAUCAAAUAGUGAUAUUUCCUUGUUGUUAGACUUUCUUAAUGUUAACUGUUCACCUGUAAUGAUGUUU
RNAcentral lists this long non-coding RNA (3974 nucleotides) under Sarcophilus harrisii (Tasmanian devil). RNAcentral's name for it is "lncRNA (ENSSHAG00000032186.1)". Lineage: Eukaryota; Metazoa; Chordata; Mammalia; Dasyuromorphia; Dasyuridae. The record is from RNAcentral.